Potamilus streckersoni is the source of this 73-nucleotide non-coding RNA. NCBI's taxonomy places the organism in Eukaryota, Metazoa, Mollusca, Bivalvia, Unionida, Unionidae. The record is from the annotation of a GenBank genome assembly.
GUUCCGGUGGCCAAGUGGUUAGAUCGUCCGCCUCGGAUGCGGAAAGUCAUGGGUUCGAUCCUCGGUCGAGUCA